AGGAGCGCUGUGAUUGGCUGA
This 21-nucleotide small nuclear RNA is filed under the name Arabidopsis thaliana (thale cress). Its description in RNAcentral is "snRNA_03944". The record is from RNAcentral. Lineage: Eukaryota; Viridiplantae; Streptophyta; Magnoliopsida; Brassicales; Brassicaceae.